Molecule: ribosomal RNA, 492 nt
Filed under: uncultured bacterium
Lineage: Bacteria
Description: partial 16S ribosomal RNA
Rfam family: Bacterial small subunit ribosomal RNA
Source: RNAcentral
AGUGAACGCUGGCGGUAGGCCUAACACAUGCAAGUCGAACGGCAGCACAGUAAGAGCUUGCUCUUACGGGUGGCGAGUGGCGGACAGGUGAGGAAUACAUCGGAAUCUACUUUUUCGUGGGGGAUAACGUAGGGAAACUUACGCUAAUACCGCAUACGACCUACGGGUGAAAGCAGGGGAUCUUCGGACCUUGCGCGAUUGAAUGAGCCGAUGUCGGAUUAGCUAGUUGGCGGGGUAAAGGCCCACCAAGGCGACGAUCCGUAGCUGGUCUGAGAGGAUGAUCAGCCACACUGGAACUGAGACACGGUCCAGACUCCUACGGGAGGCAGCAGUGGGGAAUAUUGGACAAUGGGCGCAAGCCUGAUCCAGCCAUACCGCGUGGGUGAAGAAGGCCUUCGGGUUGUAAGGCCCUUUUGUUGGGAAAGAAAAGCAGCAGGUUAAUACCCCGCUGUUCUGACGGUACCCAAAGAAUAAGCACCGGCUAACUUCGUG